RNAcentral lists this ribosomal RNA (801 nucleotides) under Triticum aestivum (bread wheat). RNAcentral's name for it is "partial small subunit ribosomal RNA". Lineage: Eukaryota; Viridiplantae; Streptophyta; Magnoliopsida; Poales; Poaceae. The record is from RNAcentral.
AUGAAUAUCUUCAGCUGAAACUGUCGGGGAGUUGGGAACAAACUGACAGUUCGUGAAUUGGUAGCACUUGCGAGGGCUGCCGACUCAAGUUUUGUUUUUCUUUCUGAAACUAGGCAAAAAGCAGAAAAAGUACUUAGUCUUCGUGGUAGGUUAGGACUAAAUGUUUUUGUUGGUGUCGACAGUAAUGGUCUUAGUGAAGGUUUGGGUCUGUUUUGGAACGAUCAGUUGCAUGUUGAAAUAAAAGAUACUAAUAAAAGAUAUAUCGAUGCUUAUGUCUGUGUGUCCGACAAUGCACCUCUUUGGCGACUUACUUGUGUCUAUGGGGAGCCAAGGGUAGAAAAUCAGCACCACAUGUGGUCAGUAAUGCAAAAUCUUAAAGCACAGUCAGAUCUACCUUGGUGCGUUAUUGGUGACUUUAAUGAAGCUCUCUGGUCGUUCAAACAUUUUUCGGCUUCGCGGAGGAGUGAUAGUCAGAUGUUAGCAUUCCGUGACACUCUGGAGAUGUGUGAAUUCAUGGACCUUGGGUUCUCAGGGUUACCCUACACUUAUGAUAACAAACGCAGGGGAAGAAGGAAUGUGAAGGUCCGUUUGGAUAGAGCAGUUGCGGACAACAAAUGGAGAGAUAUUUUCUUCGAAUCCAGGGUGGUCCAUCAAGUGUCACCAUGUUUUGAUCAUUUGCCUAUAGUGUUGCAUUGUGAAGCAGAGGUGUUGCAGCAACGAAAGCAAAGCCAGCGUAGAUAUGAAGUUAUGUGGGCAAGAGAUUCAUGCGUUGCGGAACGCAUCCAGAACGCUUGGGCAUAG